This 372-nucleotide ribosomal RNA is filed under the name Corynebacterium sp. Its description in RNAcentral is "bacterial SSU rRNA". It matches the Rfam family "Bacterial small subunit ribosomal RNA", at positions 1 to 375 of the family's 1533-position model. The record is from RNAcentral. Lineage: Bacteria; Bacillati; Actinomycetota; Actinomycetes; Mycobacteriales; Corynebacteriaceae.
UUUGUGGAGAGUUUGAUCCUGGCUCAGGACGAACGCUGGCGGCGUGCUUAACACAUGCAAGUCGAACGGAAAGGCCCUGCUUGCAGGGUACUCGAGUGGCGAACGGGUGAGUAACACGUGGGUGAUCUGCCCUGCACUUCGGGAUAAGCCUGGGAAACUGGGUCUAAUACCGGAUAGGAGCCAUUUUUAGUGUGAUGGUUGGAAAGUUUUUUCGGUGUAGGAUGAGCUCGCGGCCUAUCAGCUUGUUGGUGGGGUAAUGGCCUACCAAGGCGGCGACGGGUAGCCGGCCUGAGAGGGUGGACGGCCACAUUGGGACUGAGAUACGGCCCAGACUCCUACGGGAGGCAGCAGUGGGGAAUAUUGCACAAUGGG